This 860-nucleotide ribosomal RNA is filed under the name uncultured Neocallimastigales. RNAcentral's name for it is "partial large subunit ribosomal RNA". It matches the Rfam family "Eukaryotic large subunit ribosomal RNA", at positions 1 to 616 of the family's 3401-position model. Lineage: Eukaryota; Fungi; Neocallimastigomycota; Neocallimastigomycetes; Neocallimastigales. The record is from RNAcentral.
CGCAUCUGUGCAUGCAGCAUAUCAAUAAGCGGAGGAAAAGGAGUAUACCUACGCUUAGGAUGUUGACGAGACUGUCGAUCUCAUCUAUACAUGACUCUGUGCAUAUCAAUAAGCGGAGGAAAAGAAACUAACAAGGAUUCCCCUAGUAACGGCGAGUGAAGCGGGAAGAGCUCAAAUUUGAAAUCUUAAAGGGUUUCCCUUUACGAAUUGUAGUUUAAAGAAGUGUUUUCUGUUGAGGUUUUGGUAAAAGUUCUUUGGAAUAGGACAUCAUAGAGGGUGAGAAUCCCGUAUUUGACCUUUACUUUCAACUUUGUGAUACACUUUCAAAGAGUCGGAUUGUUUGGGAAUGCAGUCCAAAAUGGGUGGUAAAUUUCAUCUAAAGCUAAAUAUUGGCGAGAGACCGAUAGCGAACAAGUACCGUGAGGGAAAGAUGAAAAGAACUUUGAAAAGAGAGUUAAACAGUACGUGAAAUUGUCAAAAGGGAAGCGUUUGACACCAGUGUUGUUUUUCUGAAAAUCAAUUAAAGAACUGUUUAUGCUAAGCUUGUUUAGACUUUAUCAGCUAACUGUUUAGUUUUGAGCUUUUCUUUAAUGCGACUUUUCAGUUAACAAGUCAACAUCAAUUUCUUUUGCUGUAAAAAAGCUCGAGGAAGGUGGCUUGAGACUCGUCUUAAGUGUUUAUAGCCUCUUGCCUAUGCAGUCGGAGAGAUUGAGGUCUGCAGCGUAGAUCCUUCGGGGCUAAAUGCAUUUGUGCUAAGUUAUAGCAUUUUAUAGACAACUUGUUGACUAUGAUUUGUCUUGUAGCUUACUCGCUUAUGUUAUUUUACCUACGCUUAGGAUGUUGAGCGCAUGUCUCUCUCU